GGUUGUAAAGCACUUUCAGUAGGGAGGAAAGGGUGUAGUUUAAUACGCUAUAUCUGUGACGUUACCUACAGAAGAAGGACCGGCUAACUCCGUGCCAGCAGCCGCGGUAAUACGGAGGGUCCGAGCGUUAAUCGGAAUUACUGGGCGUAAAGCGUGCGCAGGCGGUUUGUUAAGCGAGAUGUGAAAGCCCUGGGCUCAACCUAGGAAUAGCAUUUCGAACUGGCGAACUAGAGUCUUGUAGAGGGGGGUAGAAUUCCAGGUGUAGCGGUGAAAUGCGUAGAGAUCUGGAGGAAUACCGGUGGCGAAGGCGGCCCCCUGGACAAAGACUGACGCUCAUGCACGAAAGCGUGGGGAGCAAACAGGAUUAGAUACCCUGGUAGUCCACGCCGUAAACGAUGUCUACUCGGAGUUUGGUGUCUUGAACACUGGGCUCUCAAGCUAACGCAUUAAGUAGACCGCCUGGGGAGUACGGCCGCAAGGUUAAAACUCAAAUGAAUUGACGGGGGCCCGCACAAGCGGUGGAGCAUGUGGUUUAAUUCGAUGCAACGCGAAGAACCUUACCUACUCUUGACAUCCAGAGAAUUCGCUAGAGAUAGCU
Molecule: ribosomal RNA, 598 nt
Filed under: bacterium
Lineage: Bacteria
Also listed under: 1 other name
Description: bacterial SSU rRNA
Rfam family: Bacterial small subunit ribosomal RNA
Source: RNAcentral